AGCAGCCGCGGUAAUUCCAGCUCCAAUAGCGUAUAUUAAAGUUGUUGCAGUUAAAAAGCUCGUAGUUGAAUUUCGGGAUCAAUUUAUUGGUCGUGCUAUUGUACGUACUGGUAUUAUUGAUUCCUACCUUCUGACGAACCAUGAUGUCAUUAAUUUGGUGUCUUGGGGAAUCAGGACUGUUACUUUGAAAAAAUUAGAGUGUUUAAAGCAGGCUCACGCUUGAAUACAUUAGCAUGGAAUAACGAAAUAGGACGUUUGAUUCUAUUUUGUUGGUUUCUAGGAUCGACGUAAUGAUUAAUAGGGAUAGUUGGGGGCAUUAGUAUUCAAUUGUCAGAGGUGAAAUUCUUGGAUUUAUUGAAGACUAACUACUGCGAAAGCAUUUGCCAAGGAUGUUUUCAUUAAUCAAGAACGAAAGUUAGGGGAUCGAAGACGAUCAGAUACCGUCGUAGUCUUAACCAUAAACUAUGCCGACUAGGGAUCGGAUGAUGUUAAUUUUUAAUGUACUCAUUCGGCGCCUUAA
RNAcentral lists this ribosomal RNA (520 nucleotides) under uncultured Glomus. RNAcentral describes it as "SSU rRNA". It matches the Rfam family "Eukaryotic small subunit ribosomal RNA", at positions 569 to 1091 of the family's 1831-position model. The record is from RNAcentral. Lineage: Eukaryota; Fungi; Glomeromycota; Glomeromycetes; Glomerales; Glomeraceae.